CGGACGGGUGAGUAAUGUCUGGGAAACUGCCCGAUGGAGGGGAUAACUACUGGAAACGGUAGCUAAUACCGCAUAACGUCGCAAGACCAAAGAGGGGGACCUUGGGCCUCUUGCCAUCGGAUGUGCCCAGAUGGGAUUAGCUAGUAGGUGGGGUAACGGCUCACCUAGGCGACGAUCCCUAGCUGGUCUGAGAGGAUGACCAGCCACACUGGAACUGAGACACGGUCCAG
RNAcentral lists this ribosomal RNA (230 nucleotides) under uncultured bacterium. Its description in RNAcentral is "partial 16S ribosomal RNA". It matches the Rfam family "Bacterial small subunit ribosomal RNA", at positions 99 to 334 of the family's 1533-position model. The record is from RNAcentral.